UACGUAGGGUGCAAGCGUUGUCCGGAAUUAUUGGGCGUAAAGAGCUUGUAGGCGGUUUGUCGCGUCUGCUGUGAAAUUUCGGGGCUCAACCCCGAACUUGCAGUGGGUACGGGCAGACUAGAGUGUGGUAGGGGAGACUGGAAUUCCUGGUGUAGCGGUGAAAUGCGCAGAUAUCAGGAGGAACACCGAUGGCGAAGGCAGGUCUCUGGGCCACUACUGACGCUGAGAAGCGAAAGCAUGUGGAGCGAACAGG
RNAcentral lists this ribosomal RNA (253 nucleotides) under uncultured bacterium. RNAcentral's name for it is "partial 16S ribosomal RNA". It matches the Rfam family "Bacterial small subunit ribosomal RNA", at positions 524 to 776 of the family's 1533-position model. The record is from RNAcentral.